This is a non-coding RNA of Paramuricea clavata, 1398 nucleotides long. NCBI's taxonomy places the organism in Eukaryota, Metazoa, Cnidaria, Anthozoa, Malacalcyonacea, Plexauridae. The record is from the annotation of a GenBank genome assembly.
GUAGUACAUAAAUAAACAAAAUGGCGGCACAAAUUUAUACUAUUUAAACUGCUGUUUUCGUGGCUUUGUGUUAAAAUAAAGAAUGUAAAGAGAAGAAAAAUACAUAACAGGCAACAGGAUAUGCUGCUGAAACCAUUUAAGUAGGUUUUUUAAAUUUUAAACUUGUUUACGCUAUAGAGUAUUUGUCAUGAAAUACAAAUAUUGUUGUAUGGAUGUUGUUCAAUGUUGAUAUUUGUUUCGUCGCUAUAUAACAAAACACUUAACGUCUUUUCCCUCGGGAAAUAGUUAGUUUUGUUUUCCCUCGAAUCUCAAUGUUUCUCUCGACUUCGUCUCGGGAAACAUUGAGAUUCUCGGGAAAACAAAACUAACUAUAACUAACUAUUGCCCUCGGGUGCAGACAUUAAGUGUAUAAUAUACACUUAAUGUCUGCUCCCGAGGGAAAUAGUUUUGUUUUCCCGAGAAUCUCAAUGUUUCCCGAGACGAAGUCGAGGGAAACAUUAAGAUUCGAGGGAAAACAAAACUAACUAUUUCCCGAGGGAACAGGCAUUAAGUGUUUUGUUUAAACUCGGACUCUAACAUCUAACCCAAAUCUAAUCUUAAUAUGACCCAAAUCUAAUCUUAAUAUGACCCUAAUCUAACCCUAAACUUGACGACCUUUUCUUUUUGAAAACAAGGUUCUCGGCCUACACCAAACUUUGUUACCAGUGGUACCCUGAUGGCAAUGGUGGUCAGUGUGGUGCUGGCGAACCCAGACGUCUUUGCACACACGUCAACUCAGCCACCCAAUAUUACCGAGACGACACAGACAACAGAGGAGGCGGCUGUCGCAUGAGCUGGUCCAUCGAAUCACCUUAUAGCCCCACAGUGGUUCAAGAACGUGCAAAUAUGCUACCGAUGGUACCCGGAUGGUGACGGCGGUCAGUGUGGAGGUGCGGCGGCACACAUACUGUGUGCUCCAGUGCGGUAAAUACACGGCGGUCUACCGAGAUGACACCGAUAAUCGCGGCGGUGGGUGUAGAAUGUCUUGGCAGCUUAAACUACCAUCUGUGCAUAGUUGGUGGGCAAGGAAUAUCCAAUUGUGUUACGAAUGGUAUCCAGAUGGUGAUGGUGGACAGUGUGGUGGUGGUGCUGCUCGCAAGCUUUGUGCUUUGGCCAACUUCUGGACUCCUUACUACAGAGAUGAUACCGACAACAGAGGAGGUGGAUGCCGCAUGAGAUGGGGUCUUUAUUACUAGUGAAAUAAAAUUGGACUGACUUGUAUUACUAGUGUUUAGUCUUUCUAAGAUUUUCAUAAUGUUGCUGUAGAUCUGCUUGCGUAAUUCUGCUAUAAAAUUUGCACAAUUUUUUCAGAUUUCAUAAUUUUAAAUUAAACGGAUUUAUGAAAUAAAUGAUAUCAAG